This 468-nucleotide ribosomal RNA is filed under the name uncultured bacterium. RNAcentral describes it as "partial 16S ribosomal RNA". It matches the Rfam family "Bacterial small subunit ribosomal RNA", at positions 28 to 507 of the family's 1533-position model. The record is from RNAcentral.
GACGAACGCUGGCGGCGUGCUUAACACAUGCAAGUCGAACGGAAAGGCCCUGCUUUUGUGGGGUGCUCGAGUGGCGAACGGGUGAGUAACACGUGAGUAACCUGCCCUUGACUUUGGGAUAACUUCAGGAAACUGGGGCUAAUACCGGAUAGGAGCUCCUGCUGCAUGGUGGGGGUUGGAAAGUUUCGGCGGUUGGGGAUGGACUCGCGGCUUAUCAGCUUGUUGGUGGGGUAGUGGCUUACCAAGGCUUUGACGGGUAGCCGGCCCGAGAGGGUGACCGGCCACAUUGGGACUGAAAUACGGCCCAGACUCCUACGGGAGGCAGCAGUGGGGAAUAUUGCACAAUGGGCGGAAGCCUGAUGCAGCAACGCCGCGUGCGGGAUGACGGCCUUCGGGUUGUAAACCGCUUUCGCCUGUGACGAAGCGUGAGUGACGGUAAUGGGUAAAGAAGCACCGGCUAACUACGUG